This 61-nucleotide transfer RNA is filed under the name Cepora nerissa (common gull). RNAcentral's name for it is "tRNA-Ser". The record is from RNAcentral. Lineage: Eukaryota; Metazoa; Arthropoda; Insecta; Lepidoptera; Pieridae.
GAAAUAUUUUAUAUUAAGCUGCUAACUUAAUUUUUAGUGGAUAACUACCAUUAAUAUUUCU